AAUGAAUGUUGGCGGCGUGGAUUAGGCAUGCAAGUCGUACGCUGUAUGUAGCAAUACAUGAGGAGUGGCGUAAGGGAGAGUAAUGCAUGGUUAGCUACCCUCGGGACUGGGAUAGCGGCGGGAAACUGCCGGUAAUACCAGAUGACAUCUUCGGAUCAAACGUGUAAAUCGGCCCGAGGAGGUGACCAUGUCAUAUCAGCUAGUUGGCGGUGUAACGGACCACCAAGGCUAAGUCGGGUAUGGGGCGUGAGAGCGUGCCCCCACUCACUGGGACUGAGACACUGCCCAGACACCUACGGGUGGCUGCAGUCGAGAAUCUUCGGCAAUGGGCGCAAGCCUGACCGAGCGACGCCGCGUGCGGGAUGAAGGCCUUCGGGUUGUAAACCGCUGUCGUAGGGGAGGAAGGCUCCGUGCAGAACGGAGUUUGACCGAUCCUAGGAGGAAGGGCCGGCUAAUCUCGUGCCAGCAGCCGCCGUAA
RNAcentral lists this ribosomal RNA (478 nucleotides) under uncultured bacterium. RNAcentral describes it as "partial 16S ribosomal RNA". It matches the Rfam family "Bacterial small subunit ribosomal RNA", at positions 29 to 523 of the family's 1533-position model. The record is from RNAcentral.